AACGGAACGAUUUUUACUUUUAGUUGGCGGACGGGUGGAGUAACGCGUGGGUAACCGCCUUAUACAGGGGAGUAACACUUAGAAAUAGGUGCUAAGACCGCAUAAGCGCCCAGGGCCGCAUGGCCCAGGGUGAAAAACUCCGGUGGUAUAAGAUGGGCCCGCGUCUGAUUAGCCAGUUGGCAGGGUAACGGCCUACCAAAGCGACGAUCAGUAGCCGGCCUGAGAGGGUGGACGGCCACAUUGGGACUGAGACACGGCCCAAACUCCUACGGGAGGCAGCAG
Molecule: ribosomal RNA, 282 nt
Filed under: uncultured bacterium
Lineage: Bacteria
Description: partial 16S ribosomal RNA
Rfam family: Bacterial small subunit ribosomal RNA
Source: RNAcentral